This 483-nucleotide ribosomal RNA is filed under the name uncultured bacterium. RNAcentral describes it as "bacterial SSU rRNA". It matches the Rfam family "Bacterial small subunit ribosomal RNA", at positions 30 to 507 of the family's 1533-position model. The record is from RNAcentral.
AUUGAACGCUGGCGGCAUGCCUUACACAUGCAAGUCGAACGGCAGCGGACCGUUCGGGUGCCGGCGAGUGGCGAACGGGUGAGUAAUAUAUCGGAACGUACCUUUCAGUGGGGGAUAACGUAGCGAAAGUUACGCUAAUACCGCAUAUUCUGUGAGCAGGAAAGCAGGGGAUCGCAAGACCUUGCGCUGAUUGAGCGGCCGAUAUCAGAUUAGCUAGUUGGUGAGGUAAAGGCUCACCAAGGCGACGAUCUGUAGCGGGUCUGAGAGGAUGAUCCGCCACACUGGAACUGAGACACGGUCCAGACUCCUACGGGAGGCAGCAGUGGGGAAUUUUGGACAAUGGGCGCAAGCCUGAUCCAGCCAUGCCGCGUGAGUGAAGAAGGCCUUCGGGUUGUAAAGCUCUUUCAGCCGGGAAGAAAACGCAUGGGUUAAUACCCUGUGUGGAUGACGGUACCGGAAUAAGAAGCACCGGCUAACUACGUG